This is a long non-coding RNA of Mytilus californianus (California mussel), 601 nucleotides long. RefSeq lists it as uncharacterized. The record is from RefSeq and is a predicted model, not a curated record. NCBI's taxonomy places the organism in Eukaryota, Metazoa, Mollusca, Bivalvia, Mytilida, Mytilidae. The transcript is spliced from 4 exons.
GAUAUGGAACCAAAAUACAUCCACCUGAAACAUUUAACAAGAAGAUGUGUAUGCCUUUAAAUUCAAAUGACAGUACAGUGCAAGAAAAGUUUGAUCGAAUUGGAGAUAGCAAUAAAGUUCAUAAUAGCGAAAAGAAAGAUAAAGUGACCUAUAGAAAAGUAUGUGAGGCUUCUAAAUGCAAAAAAGGCAUUUCAUUACCAUAUUCGCUGAUAUUUGUUUGUUCAAUUUUUGCCGCAUGUUGCGUAAACUCUGGUGCUGCAAUCAGAAGAAUAAAAAGAUCUGAUAAUGAGCAAACAGUUGAAUGUCAGGUGAGCUUUAUUAAUUUCAUGUUUGUACUAGCUGUUUUCUAGUUAUUUUUUUUUUCUUUAACUUUAUAGCAAAAUAUGUAUGUUUAUGUAAAUCUGUCAAUUGGUGAUGGCCCCUUGCAUGGUGUAGGCACCAUCACCAUGAUAUGAAUAUGUGAUAAAUCUGAGGCGUAACCUUAAUGUUUGCUAGCUUUGAGGAGGGUGCAUAGGUUGCAAUUUGUUUUUAGCAAAGCAAAAAUGAAUAUUUAUUUUAGACACUAGAAGUUGAAGUUAUUCUUAAACAUGACUAUUUCUGU